Long non-coding RNA from Rhipicephalus sanguineus (brown dog tick), 1399 nucleotides. RefSeq lists it as uncharacterized. Lineage: Eukaryota; Metazoa; Arthropoda; Arachnida; Ixodida; Ixodidae. The transcript is spliced from 3 exons. The record is from RefSeq and is a predicted model, not a curated record.
UUGCCGAAAAUUUUGCAAGUUAUUGAUGAACAAUUGGGCGCGACCGCAACCUAAGGAGUUUUGCUCAUUUGUGUGUAUCAUAACCCGCCAGCUACGCAGGUGCACAUGAGCCUGAAGACGCUGGUUUCUGCGAAGAUACAGACAGAGUGCUGUGCUGGAUUGCAUGAAGCACCAGUAGCAGCUGCAGUCAAUGUUACUCUGGUGCCACUGCUCCCUGCAGAUUUCAGGCCUCUUCGUGGCUCAACACCUGUCCCAUUGGAUGAAUCAUCCUCUGCUGAUGAAGACAUGCCAGCGGCUGAAGUUGACGCCACCUAUUUACCAUCAUUCAGCGAGAGUUUCUGCAGGUUUCGAGUUAUUUGCCGGGUUCUCUCUGCUUGAGGUCGCAAUGAUGGCCAGGAAUUCUCCUGGUCAGGAUCGUUCCCGAAGGCGAUUCAGGAACAGCUCCAUGCAGUGACUCCAGGCUACCAAAGUAUUACCGACGUGCGGCAGUUUGGUCGUGGUCGAAUUGUGUGCCGAUCGCCAGACCAGGAAUGUGUCAAAGACCUUCUAAAACUCAAUGCUGCGCAGUCAACACGCCCGACGCUCUACGCGACUACGUGUGAGGAGCGCAAUGAGUGCACGCCGGUAUCUUCGCGUCUUCCGGGGCGGACCACUGGUGCAAGCAGCCGUUCUCCUUCGCAACCCUGGACACAGCCACUGGGGAGCAGAUCGCCCUUCAACGAGACGCCUACAGGAGCCACAGCUGGUUGCACGUGUGUAUCUUGCGGUUCGGCUUCGUGCUGACGGUGGGAGUCCCGACAUGACGGCCAUCGCCUGCGGCUUCGUUCAAGCGACCACAGCGACACCAUCGAACAACGAGCUGGGUGGUCUCACGUGUGAACGCGGUGAGAGGAUUGUGGCGGCGAAGAUCGGCGAGUAAUGCUCUCCAUCACACCUUCGGGGUCCUCGCUGAAGCUGGCGAAGAGUUGUUUCGAUGGCGUGGGGGGCCAUUCUGCGGUGCUGCUUACGCCUGUUGGGGAAAGAGUGAAAUGUGGGCUCGUCCUCUCCGCCGCCCCCCAAGUCGCACUGGAUUGGGGUGUUGGUGCUGCCGACAGGCAGCAUCAACACUAUGAGAUUUUUUUUUUACUUUUCGCGCGUGCAUGAGCAUUUUAUGAUGGAAUUUUUGUUUCAUCCGACAAGUCUAAAAUCACGUUUCAUGGAACUAAUAAAAAGGGUUAUUUCAUGCGAAGCUGGUGUUGUGAUCUUAAAAAAAGAGCUUCCCUGUAAGUUUACACAGCUCACAUUUAUGCAUGAUGAAAUGCGUAUCGAUUACACGGCAGUUCGCCGUGUUAACGAAAUAACCUAAUUUUGGGGUUCCCCAUUGUAUGUUCACGCCACUGGUUAUACGCGAACUGUUCCA